AUCGAGCCAACCUCGUCUGAUGAGCUCCUCGAUCUCAUCUCGGAGCUGAAUACACUCCUCCGUGUCGUGGCCGUGGUCAUGAUGAUAGAGGCAGAACUUGUUAGGAUUGUGCAUCUCGGGAUGUGUGUGCAUCCUUUUCGGCCUUGGCAGCUGUUCCCUAACCUCCAUCAGCACUUGAGUUUUCAAUGUGUUGAGAGGAGCAUAGCUGUGGAAUCUUU
This 218-nucleotide long non-coding RNA is filed under the name Elaeis guineensis (African oil palm). RNAcentral's name for it is "long non-coding RNA (EGUI_LNC058482)". Lineage: Eukaryota; Viridiplantae; Streptophyta; Magnoliopsida; Arecales; Arecaceae. The record is from RNAcentral.